CCNUUAUGACCUGGGCUACACACGUGCUACAAUGGACAGAACAAAGGGCAGCGAAACCGCGAGGUUAAGCCAAUCCCACAAAUCUGUUCUCAGUUCGGAUCGCAGUCUGCAACUCGACUGCGUGAAGCUGGAAUCGCUAGUAAUCGCGGAUCAGCAUGCCGCGGUGAAUACGUUCCCGGGCCUUGUACACACCGCCCGUCACACCACGAGAGUUUGUAACACCCGAAGUCGGUGAGGUAACCUUUUAGGAGCCAGCCGCCGAAGGUGGGACAGAUGAUUGGGGUGAAGUCGUAACAAGGUAGCCGUAUCGGAAGGUGCGGUUGGAUCACCU
RNAcentral lists this ribosomal RNA (331 nucleotides) under Bacillus subtilis. Its description in RNAcentral is "bacterial SSU rRNA". It matches the Rfam family "Bacterial small subunit ribosomal RNA", at positions 1199 to 1528 of the family's 1533-position model. Lineage: Bacteria; Bacillati; Bacillota; Bacilli; Caryophanales; Bacillaceae. The record is from RNAcentral.